This 66-nucleotide transfer RNA is filed under the name Archispirostreptus gigas (African giant black millipede). Its description in RNAcentral is "tRNA-Ser". Lineage: Eukaryota; Metazoa; Arthropoda; Diplopoda; Spirostreptida; Spirostreptidae. The record is from RNAcentral.
AGCUAUUUAACUAAACAAGAUAAUAUCUUGAAAAUAUUAUAUAGAAUAUGACUAUUCUAAUAGCUU